AGUGCCAGAAUCUUAUUAGGGAAAGAUUGUUGUGCUUUAACUCCCCGAGGAGGCCUGGAGACAGCAGCAUGCUCCUGCAGAAGGCUGAGAGGUGAAGGAAGCAGACAAGAUGGAAAAGUUAAUAGGAAGAAGGAAAAGUGUAAAAGAGGAAGCGUAAUGUGUUGUAUAUUCACCAUGGUUUCUGAUGGCUUACGCUAGACAAGAGAAGCAUACUUCGGUUUUGGCCAAGGCAUUUAAGCAUGACACCCGCCAAGCACAGCCCACAAACUCCUGCUGUGCCAACAGGCUAGUGUCUGUCCUAUUGAUACCACCUUGACUUCCAGUGCUGGAGCCUGCAUUUUCCUCCAGUGGAGAUAAUAGAGUUUGACUCUCACUGUGAAGAUACCAUAGGCUAUUAACUCACGUGCAGCGAAGAUA
Aquila chrysaetos chrysaetos is the source of this 417-nucleotide long non-coding RNA. RefSeq lists it as uncharacterized. The record is from RefSeq and is a predicted model, not a curated record. The transcript has 3 exons. Lineage: Eukaryota; Metazoa; Chordata; Aves; Accipitriformes; Accipitridae.